CUCCGCCCCAGGGCUCCGGGCUCCCGGCGCUCUAACGGCGCCCCCUCGUGUGGCUACAGGAACCCGGACAACGACAUCCGCCCGUGGUGCUUCGUGCUGAACCGCGACCGGCUGAGCUGGGAGUACUGCGACCUGGCACAGUGCCAGACCCCAACCCAGGCGGCGCCUCCGACCCCGGUGUCCCCUAGGCUUCAUGUCCCACUCAUGCCCGCGCAGCCGGCACCGCUGAAGCCUCAGCCCGCGACCCGGACCCCGCCUCAGUCCCAGACCCCGGGAGGUUAGGAAGUGGGGGGGGGGAAGGAGGAGCCGAGAGGGCGCCGGGCGAGCUAGAUUCCGGCCAGCCGGCCGCGGGCUCCCCGUCCUCAGCCCCUGCUCCUCCACAGCCUUGCCGGCGAAGCGGGAGCAGCCGCCUUCCCUGACCAGGAACGGCCCACUGAGCUGCGGGCAGCGGCUCCGCAAGAGUCUGUCUUCGAUGACCCGCGUCGUUGGCGGGCUGGUGGCGCUACGCGGGGCGCACCCCUACAUCGCCGCGCUGUACUGGGGCCACAGUUUCUGCGCCGGCAGCCUCAUCGCCCCCUGCUGGGUGCUGACGGCCGCUCACUGCCUGCAGGACCGGCGAGUACCCGCCCGCCCAGAGCAGCCCCAGGGGCCGCGGCUCCUCCGUCUCCCAGCGCAGCUUCCACGCUGCACCCGAACCCGUGCCCUACCUUCUCCCGCCCCACCCUUCUUUCCACGCCCCUCCGGAGCUCCCGGGGAGGAAGCUGGAACACGGGAUUGGGGUUCGGGAGCAGGGGGCUUCCCCAGAACGCUUGUGGCCAGGUCUGAGAGCGCUGCCUCUCCCCUACCCCCCCGCAGACCCGCACCCGAGGAUCUGACGGUGGUGCUCGGCCAGGAACGCCAUAACCACAGCUGUGAGCAGUGCCAGACGUUGGCCGUGCGCUCCUACCGCUUGCACGAGGCCUUCUCGCCCGUCAGCUACCAGCACGACCUGGCUCUGUUGCGCCUUCAGGAGGAUGCGGACGGCAGCUGCGCGCUCCUGUCGCCUUACGUUCAGCCGGUGUGCCUGCCAAGCGGCGCCGCGCGACCCUCCGAGACCACGCUCUGCCAGGUGGCCGGCUGGGGCCACCAGUUCGAGGGGGCGGAGGAAUAUGCCAGCUUCCUGCAGGAGGCGCAGGUACCCUUCCUCUCCCUGGAGCGCUGCUCAGCCCCGGACGUGCACGGAUCCUCCAUCCUCCCCGGCAUGCUCUGCGCAGGGUUCCUCGAGGGCGGCACCGAUGCGUGCCAGGGUGAUUCCGGAGGCCCGCUGGUGUGUGAGGACCAAGCUGCAGAGCGCCGGCUCACCCUGCAAGGCAUCAUCAGCUGGGGAUCGGGCUGUGGUGACCGCAACAAGCCAGGCGUCUACACCGAUGUGGCCUACUACCUGGCCUGGAUCCGGGAGCACACCGUUUCCUGAUUGCUCAGGGACUCAUCUUUCCCUCCUUGGUGAUUCCGCAGUGAGAGAGUGGCUGGGGCAUGGAAGGCAAGAUUGUGUCCCAUUCCCCCAGUGCGGCCAGCUCCGCGCCAGGAUGGCGCA
Molecule: small RNA, 1573 nt
Filed under: Pan troglodytes (chimpanzee)
Lineage: Eukaryota; Metazoa; Chordata; Mammalia; Primates; Hominidae
Description: retained intron
Source: RNAcentral